Molecule: long non-coding RNA, 283 nt
Organism: Sitophilus oryzae (rice weevil)
Lineage: Eukaryota; Metazoa; Arthropoda; Insecta; Coleoptera; Curculionidae
Exons: 3
Source: RefSeq, a predicted model, not a curated record
AAUAGAAUGGGCAAAAGUAGCAUUUAAAAAUUACUCAGUAGAGGAUUGUCAGAAAGUAUGGGCUCAGUUGUUGAAGAAAGUUAGACACUAGUUACAAGUUAGACAAUUAAACAAGUUAAAAAUUGAAAUAACCCAUGAUGAAGGCAAGUUAUUGAAAAUAUCGAUUUAAAGGCACAAUCCAAACAUCCAAAGGCAUCAACAGAAACACAUACAGGUAUGCCAAAAAGACCCUUAAGUUCUUACUUUCUCUUUUACAUUAGAAAAAAGGAUAAGAUUGCCGAAG